RNAcentral lists this ribosomal RNA (1382 nucleotides) under uncultured bacterium. RNAcentral describes it as "bacterial SSU rRNA". It matches the Rfam family "Bacterial small subunit ribosomal RNA", at positions 27 to 1400 of the family's 1533-position model. The record is from RNAcentral.
GAUUGAACGCUGGCGGUAUGCUUAACACAUGCAAGUCGAACGGAAACGAUACUAGCUUGCUAGUAGGCGUCGAGUGGCGGACGGGUGAGUAACGCGUAGGAAUCUGCCUGAUAGUGGGGGAUAGCCCGAAGAAAUUCGGAUUAAUACCGCAUAAUCUAUUCGUAGUAAAGUGGGGGACUUUCGAGCCUCACGCUAUCAGAUGAGCCUGCGUAAGAUUAGCUUGUUGGUAGGGUAAAAGCCUACCAAGGCGACGAUCUUUAGCUGGUCUGAGAGGAUGAUCAGCCACAUCGGGACUGAGACACGGCCCGAACUCCUACGGGAGGCAGCAGUGGGGAAUAUUGGACAAUGGGGGCAACCCUGAUCCAGCAAUACCGCGUGUGUGAAGAAGGCCUGAGGGUUGUAAAGCACUUUCAAUUGUGAAGAAAAGUUAGCGGUUAAUAACCGUUAGCCUUGACGUUAACUUUAGAAGAAGCACCGGCUAACUCCGUGCCAGCAGCCGCGGUAAUACGGAGGGUGCAAGCGUUAAUCGGAAUUACUGGGCGUAAAGCGUGCGUAGGCGGUUUAUUAAGUCAGAUGUGAAAGCCCCGGGCUUAACCUGGGAACUGCAUUUGAAACUGGUCAACUAGAGUAUGGUAGAGGAAAGUGGAAUUUCUGGUGUAGCGGUGAAAUGCGUAGAUAUCAGAAGGAACAUCAAUGGCGAAGGCAGCUUUCUGGACCAAUACUGACGCUGAGGUACGAAAGCGUGGGUAGCAAACAGGAUUAGAUACCCUGGUAGUCCACGCCGUAAACGAUGAUAACUAGCCGUUGGGGGGAUUUACCCUUUAGUGGCGAAGCUAACGCGUUAAGUUAUCCGCCUGGGGAGUACGGCCGCAAGGUUAAAACUCAAAGGAAUUGACGGGGACCCGCACAAGCGGUGGAGCAUGUGGUUUAAUUCGAUGCAACGCGAAGAACCUUACCUGGUCUUGACAUCCUGCGAACUUUCUAGAAAUAGAUUGGUGCCUUCGGGAACGCAGUGACAGGUGCUGCAUGGCUGUCGUCAGCUCGUGUCGUGAGAUGUUGGGUUAAGUCCCGUAACGAGCGCAACCCCUAUCCUUAUUUGCCAGCACAUCAUGGUGGGAACUAUAAGGAGACUGCCGGUGAUAAACCGGAGGAAGGCGGGGACGACGUCAAGUCAUCAUGGCCCUUACGACCAGGGCUACACACGUGCUACAAUGGGAAGGACAAAGAGCCGCGAAGCCGCGAGGUGUAGCUAAUCUCAUAAACCUUUUCGUAGUCCGGAUUGGAGUCUGCAACUCGACUCCAUGAAGUCGGAAUCGCUAGUAAUCGUAGAUCAGAAUGCUACGGUGAAUACGUUCCCGGGUCUUGUACACACCGCCCGUCAA